Molecule: ribosomal RNA, 435 nt
Filed under: uncultured bacterium
Lineage: Bacteria
Description: bacterial SSU rRNA
Rfam family: Bacterial small subunit ribosomal RNA
Source: RNAcentral
AACGCGAAGAACCUUACCUACCCUUGACAUGCCCGGAAGCCCGGUGAGAGCUGGGGGUGCCCGAAAGGGAGCCGGGACACAGGUGCUGCAUGGCUGUCGUCAGCUCGUGUCGUGGGAUGUUGGGUUAAGUCCCGCAACGAGCGCAACCCUUGCCAGUAGUUGCCACAUUCAGUUGGGCACUCUACUGGGACUGCCGGUGACAAACCGGAGGAAGGUGGGGAUGACGUCAAGUCCUCAUGGCCCUUAUGGGUAGGGCUUCACACGUAAUACAAUGGCGCGUACAGAGGGUUGCCAACCCGCGAGGGGGAGCCAAUCCCAGAAAGCGCGUCGUAGUCCGGAUUGCAGUCUGCAACUCGACUGCAUGAAGUCGGGAUCGCUAGUAAUCGCGGAUCAGCGAUGUCGCGGUGAAUACGUUCCCGGGUCUUGUACACACGC